This 347-nucleotide long non-coding RNA is filed under the name Elaeis guineensis (African oil palm). RNAcentral describes it as "long non-coding RNA (EGUI_LNC004463)". The record is from RNAcentral. Lineage: Eukaryota; Viridiplantae; Streptophyta; Magnoliopsida; Arecales; Arecaceae.
AAUAUGGUUAUGGAUAUACUGGUAUCCUAUCCAGUUUCAGCCUUAAAAUAGAAUUUUGGAAGACAAUGUGAUCACUGCUAUUUAUCAAUGCAUUAUCGAAUUGAGCCACUUUUCAGACCACAAGGUUCCCAGUUUCCAACUACUGGUUAGGCUACAAAAUGAACUUACGGUCACUUAUUUCUUCUAGAUGUACUCUGAUAAAGUGAAAAAUGGGAUUUUGAAAGGCAUGAUUGAUUUUCUGCUCUUUUUUUUUUUUUUUUCUUUUUUUCCAACAGAAAUCCUGAAUGGCCUUCAAUGGUAUAAAGGAAAAGAACUGCAAGGACAUACUUACUAUGUUCGAAUUGAGA